This 241-nucleotide ribosomal RNA is filed under the name uncultured bacterium. RNAcentral's name for it is "partial 16S ribosomal RNA". It matches the Rfam family "Bacterial small subunit ribosomal RNA", at positions 116 to 353 of the family's 1533-position model. The record is from RNAcentral.
CGUGGGUAACCUGCCUUAUAGUGGGGGAUAGCCUUUCGAAAGGAAGAUUAAUACCGCAUAAGAUUGUAGUAUCGCAUGAUAUAGCAAUUAAAGGAGCAAUUCGCUAUAAGAUGGACCCGCGUCGCAUUAGCUAGUUGGUGAGGUAAUGGCUCACCAAGGCGACGAUGCGUAGCCGACCUGAGAGGGUGAUCGGCUACAUUGGGACUGAGACACGGCCCAGACUCCUACGGGAGGCAGCAUG